AUUGAACGCUGGCGGCAUGCCUUACACAUGCAAGUCGAACGGCAGCACGGGAGCAAUCCUGGUGGCGAGUGGCGAACGGGUGAGUAAUAUAUCGGAACGUGCCCAGUCGUGGGGGAUAACGUAGCGAAAGCUACGCUAAUACCGCAUACGAUCUAUGGAUGAAAGCGGGGGAUCGCAAGACCUCGCGCGAUUGGAGCGGCCGAUAUCAGAUUAGGUAGUUGGUGAGGUAAAGGCUCACCAAGCCGACGAUCUGUAGCUGGUCUGAGAGGACGACCAGCCACACUGGGACUGAGACACGGCCCAGACUCCUACGGGAGGCAGCAGUGGGGGAAUUUUUGGGACAAUGGGCGGCAAGCCUGAUCCAGCAAUGCCGCGUGCAGGAUGAAGGCC
Molecule: ribosomal RNA, 390 nt
Filed under: uncultured bacterium
Lineage: Bacteria
Description: bacterial SSU rRNA
Rfam family: Bacterial small subunit ribosomal RNA
Source: RNAcentral